Non-coding RNA from Salmo salar (Atlantic salmon), 381 nucleotides. The record is from RefSeq and is a predicted model, not a curated record. Lineage: Eukaryota; Metazoa; Chordata; Actinopteri; Salmoniformes; Salmonidae.
GGAAGGGGCUUGUGUGUAAACCAUAAAGGAAGAGGCGAAGCAAGAGGUUUCACUUUUGCUAAAAUGCAUUUCUAUGGGUUUAUUUUGGACCUAAGCUUGUCGCCUGCAUUCCCGCCUUUGGCACAACGACCAUGGAGCCAGAUAUCUGCCAAAAGGUUGAACUGGUCUUCGGUAGUCUCUGUAUAGGCUAUUCCCUCCAUCGCAACACUGCUGCCCAGUUGAAGAGCUUGUGAUCUCCAUGCAACACCACAGCAGCAUGCGCCUUCAGAAAAGCACCCCUCAGCCUCAGAAGAUGCCCUUCUGGAGGCCUGCAGCCAUAGAGUCAUUGUACCCUAAUGUAGGACUAUUUGCAUAUUAGCCAAAUAAAGUGCAGAGCAUGCA